Molecule: small RNA, 224 nt
Filed under: Arabidopsis thaliana (thale cress)
Lineage: Eukaryota; Viridiplantae; Streptophyta; Magnoliopsida; Brassicales; Brassicaceae
Description: ATSL153430
Source: RNAcentral
UAUCUAAAAGAUAACAAACUCAAAAACUUCAUUAGCAAGUCUAGAGCUGUCAAAUGGUCCGUCCAGGGACCAUUGGGCGUGUACGUACAGACAAUUUUUUUUUAUGGGCCAAGUUGGACGGUCCAUGGACAAUGGUCCAAAAAAUGUCCAUGCCCAAUAAAGACCAUGUUUAUAUAGAAAGUCUAUGGUCAGCCCAUUUUAUUAUUGUUAUUAUUGAUAAAUCA